Long non-coding RNA from Coregonus clupeaformis (lake whitefish), 794 nucleotides. RefSeq lists it as uncharacterized. The record is from RefSeq and is a predicted model, not a curated record. The transcript has 2 exons. Lineage: Eukaryota; Metazoa; Chordata; Actinopteri; Salmoniformes; Salmonidae.
UGUUUGCCCACAUGGGAGUUUCUUCACUUAACUUCCCACACAGCAGCAAUAACAUGCAUAUUUGUGCAAGAGGGGGACAUUUCAUCACAUCAGCUAUGUGAAAGCACAUGGGAGGGCCUGAGGCUCUUGGAACAUGACUGAGGACACCCUGGCCUGACACCUGGACUUGCCUGGCCCAAUCACACCUGGCCCCCCUCUACCUGUUACCUGCCUGUUACUUUAAAGUCCAUAAUUAACCUAUACGGCUCUGGAUCCAUUGUCUUACCUACUACUGCAACAACUUGUGUCAAUUAUUUGUCCUUUUAUAGAAUAUAUUUAUCUUUUUACUAAUGACUCAAAGGUGUGUGGCCAUUAACAUUGGGUGCAUAUCCACUGACCUCCCAAAGUGUGGACUUACACAUUUCUUCUCAUCUCAGGGAUUUAACAAUGGUGCAAAGAAGUUAAAGCCAAAGCUUACACCUAUCCAACGCUUGGAAAUCCAUGAAGAGGGAGAUGGACAAUUGGCAUGCAGCCAUUGAUUUCAGGUGGCUUCAUCAAUAGAUGGAAUUUGUUCCAAAGGGCACCCUAUUCCAUAUACAUGGUACAGGGAGAAGUAAUAGGGAAGAGGGUGCCCUUUGGGAUGCAUACUGCCUGUUGAGCCACACCCUGCCUAUAGUAAACCUGUUUAACCUCGCUGUGAUACUGUAGGCCUACUUAUGUUACUUUUCUGAGUCAAUUCAGGUAGCAUUCAAUGUCCUGUGUGUGUGUUAACGAUGGCAGCCAGCAUUGUAAAUAAAGAGAUGUGCAGUGUCUGU